This 517-nucleotide unclassified non-coding RNA is filed under the name uncultured Glomeromycotina. RNAcentral's name for it is "SSU rRNA". It matches the Rfam family "Eukaryotic small subunit ribosomal RNA", at positions 591 to 1114 of the family's 1831-position model. Lineage: Eukaryota; Fungi; Glomeromycota. The record is from RNAcentral.
CCAAUAGCGUAUAUUAAAGUUGUUGUGGUUAAAAAGCUCGUAGUUGAACCUUGGGCCUGGCUGGCCGGUCCGCCUCACCGCGUGCACUGGUCCGGCCGGGCCUUUCCCUCUGUGGAACCCCAUGCCCUUCACUGGGUGUGGCGGGGAAACAGGACUUUUACUUUGAAAAAAUUAGAGUGCUCCAGGCAGGCCUAUGCUCGAAUACAUUAGCAUGGAAUAAUAAAAUAGGACGGGUGGUUUUAUUUUGUUGGUUUCUAAGACCGCCGUAAUGAUUAAUAGGGACAGUCGGGGGCAUCAGUAUUCAAUUGUCAGAGGUGAAAUUCUUGGAUUUAUUGAAGACUAACUACUGCGAAAGCAUUUGCCAAGGAUGUUUUCAUUACUCAGGAACGAAAGUUAGGGGAUCGAAGACGAUCAGAUACCGUCGUAGUCUUAACCGUAAACGAUGCCGACUAGGGAUCGGACGGUGUUAUUUUUUGACCCGUUCGGCACCUUACGAGAAACCAAAGUGUUUGGUUUC